GCUGGGAAAGCUCAGUUGGCAGAGCAUGAGACUCUGAAUCUCAGGGUUGUGGGUUCAAGCCCCACUCUGGGCA
Podarcis lilfordi (Lilford's wall lizard) is the source of this 73-nucleotide non-coding RNA. Lineage: Eukaryota; Metazoa; Chordata; Lepidosauria; Squamata; Lacertidae. The record is from the annotation of a GenBank genome assembly.